AAGUGGUGGAUUGUAGCUCCAUGUACAGAGGUUUAAGUCCUCUUCAUAU
RNAcentral lists this transfer RNA (49 nucleotides) under Scriptaphyosemion geryi. RNAcentral's name for it is "partial tRNA-Tyr". Lineage: Eukaryota; Metazoa; Chordata; Actinopteri; Cyprinodontiformes; Nothobranchiidae. The record is from RNAcentral.